This 700-nucleotide ribosomal RNA is filed under the name uncultured bacterium. RNAcentral's name for it is "bacterial SSU rRNA". It matches the Rfam family "Bacterial small subunit ribosomal RNA", at positions 94 to 828 of the family's 1533-position model. The record is from RNAcentral.
AGUGGCGGACGGGUGAGUAACGCGUAAGAAUCUAACUUCAGGACGGGGACAACAGUUGGAAACGACUGCUAAUACCCGAUGUGCCGCAAGGUGAAACCUAAUUGGCCUGGAGAAGAGCUUGCGUCUGAUUAGCUAGUUGGUGGGGUAAAGGCCUACCAAGGCGACGAUCAGUAGCUGGUCUGAGAGGAUGAGCAGCCACACUGGGACUGAGACACGGCCCAGACUCCUAUGGGAGGCAGCAGUGGGGAAUUUUCCGCAAUGGGCGAAAGCCUGACGGAGCAACGCCGCGUGAGGGAGGAAGGUCUUUGGAUUGUAAACCUCUUUUCUCAAGGAAGAAGUUCUGACGGUACUUGAGGAAUCAGCCUCGGCUAACUCCGUGCCAGCAGCCGCGGUAAUACGGGGGAGGCAAGCGUUAUCCGGAAUUAUUGGGCGUAAAGCGUCCGCAGGUGGUCAGCCAAGUCUGCCGUCAAAUCAGGUUGCUUAACGACCUAAAGGCGGUGGAAACUGGCAGACUAGAGAGCAGUAGGGGUAGCAGGAAUUCCCAGUGUAGCGGUGAAAUGCGUAGAGAUUGGGAAGAACAUCGGUGGCGAAAGCGUGCUACUGGGCUGUAUCUGACAUUCAGGGACGAAAGCUAGGGGAGCGAAAGGGAUUAGAUACCCCUGUAGUCCUAGCCGUAAACGAUGGAUACUAGGCGUGGCUU